GCCUUCAGCCACGCCACCCUGACUACACCUGAUCCUGUCAGAUUCUCGGAAGUUAAGCGGGGCUGGGCUCCGGCUAGUACUUGGAGGGGUGACCUCCUGGGAAUACCGGGUGCUGUAGGGU
Ribosomal RNA from Anser brachyrhynchus (Pink-footed goose), 121 nucleotides. Lineage: Eukaryota; Metazoa; Chordata; Aves; Anseriformes; Anatidae. The record is from Ensembl.